AGGGGUGUAGCUCAAUUGGUAGAGUGUAUGCUUAGCAUGCAUGAGGUCCUGGGUUCAAUCCUCAGUACUGCCU
This 73-nucleotide transfer RNA is filed under the name Camelus bactrianus (Bactrian camel). It matches the Rfam family "tRNA". Rfam says of the family: Transfer RNA (tRNA) molecules are approximately 80 nucleotides in length. Their secondary structure includes four short double-helical elements and three loops (D, anti-codon, and T loops). The record is from Rfam by way of RNAcentral. RNAcentral also lists the same sequence under 2 other names. Lineage: Eukaryota; Metazoa; Chordata; Mammalia; Artiodactyla; Camelidae.